Molecule: ribosomal RNA, 690 nt
Filed under: Lodderomyces parapsilosis
Lineage: Eukaryota; Fungi; Ascomycota; Pichiomycetes; Serinales; Debaryomycetaceae
Description: eukaryotic LSU rRNA
Rfam family: Eukaryotic large subunit ribosomal RNA (bases 416-690)
Source: RNAcentral
ACUGCAUUUUUUCUUACACAUGUGUUUUUCUUUUUUUGAAAACUUUGCUUUGGUAGGCCUUCUAUAUGGGGCCUGCCAGAGAUUAAACUCAACCAAAUUUUAUUUAAUGUCAACCGAUUAUUUAAUAGUCAAAACUUUCAACAACGGAUCUCUUGGUUCUCGCAUCGAUGAAGAACGCAGCGAAAUGCGAUAAGUAAUAUGAAUUGCAGAUAUUCGUGAAUCAUCGAAUCUUUGAACGCACAUUGCGCCCUUUGGUAUUCCAAAGGGCAUGCCUGUUUGAGCGUCAUUUCUCCCUCAAACCCUCGGGUUUGGUGUUGAGCGAUACGCUGGGUUUGCUUGAAAGAAAGGCGGAGUAUAAACUAAUGGAUAGGUUUUUUCCACUCAUUGGUACAAACUCCAAAACUUCUUCCAAAUUCGACCUCAAAUCAGGUAGGACUACCCGCUGAACUUAAGCAUAUCAAUAAGCGGAGGAAAAGAAACCAACAGGGAUUGCCUUAGUAGCGGCGAGUGAAGCGGCAAAAGCUCAAAUUUGAAUCUGGCACUUUCAGUGUCCGAGUUGUAAUUUGAAGAAGGUAUCUUUGGGUCUGGCUCUUGUCUAUGUUUCUUGGAACAGAACGUCACAGAGGGUGAGAAUCCCGUGCGAUGAGAUGUCCCAGACCUAUGUAAAGUUCCUUCGAAGAGUCGAGUUGU